This 328-nucleotide long non-coding RNA is filed under the name Hordeum vulgare. RNAcentral describes it as "long non-coding RNA (HVUL_LNC018230)". The record is from RNAcentral. Lineage: Eukaryota; Viridiplantae; Streptophyta; Magnoliopsida; Poales; Poaceae.
AACAAGUCUAGAUAUGGGAUCAAGGUCAUGUCAUCUUGCCUGUGUAUCCUCAGCUUGGAAUGGUUCUGGAUCGUCCUACACGUACUCUCCUGACUCCACGUAUUCGGUCUCCGCUCCCGGUGCUACCCAAUACAAAAGAACAGCCAAUGAACAGCAGCACCACAAAAUGCAACAAUCACAUGAUGCAUGAGAUGAAAGUUGAGCAUGCACCACUAUUUCUAACACUAGCACAAGCAAGAAUAACUACAACAAGUUCCUGGACAGAACUUUGCACUAAACUAUUUGGACAUGCAUGGGAAUGAUAUGAACAGAUGCAUCUCGUAAAAAC